Molecule: ribosomal RNA, 565 nt
Filed under: uncultured bacterium
Lineage: Bacteria
Description: partial 16S ribosomal RNA
Rfam family: Bacterial small subunit ribosomal RNA
Source: RNAcentral
UAGGGAAUCUUGCGCAAUGGGCGAAAGCCUGACGCAGCCAUGCCGCGUGAAUGAUGAAGGUCUUAGGAUUGUAAAAUUCUUUCACCGGGGAAGAUAAUGACGGUACCCGGAGAAGAAGCCCCGGCUAACUUCGUGCCAGCAGCCGCGGUAAUACGAAGGGGGCUAGCGUUGCUCGGAAUUACUGGGCGUAAAGGGCGCGUAGGCGGAUAUUUAAGUUGGGGGUGAAAGCCCGGGGGCUCAACCUCGGAAUAGCCUUCAAUACUGGAUAUCUUGAGUUCGGGAGAGGUNAGUGGAAUGCCGAGUGUAGAGGUGAAAUUCGUAGAUAUUCGGCGGAACACCAGUGGCGAAGGCGACUCACUGGCCCGAUACUGACGCUGAGGCGCGAAAGCGUGGGGAGCAACAGGAUUAGAUACCCUGGUAGUCCACGCCGUAAACGAUGAGUGCUAGUUGUCGGCAUGCAUGCAUGUCGGUGACGCAGCUAACGCAUUAAGCACUCCGCCUGGGGGAGUACGGGUCGCAAGAUUAAAAACUCAAAUGAAUUGACGGGGGUCAUAGCUGUUUCCUG